GACGAACGCUGGCGGCGUGCCUAAUACAUGCAAGUUGUGCGCUGAAGGUUGGUACUUGUACCAACUGGAUGAGCAGCGGACGGGUGAGUAACGCGUGGGUAAUCUGCCUUUGAGCGGGGGACAACAUUUGGAAACGAAUGCUAAUACCGCAUAAAAGCUUUAAACACAAGUUUUAAGUUUGAAAGAUGCAAUUGCAUCACUCAAAGAUGAUCCCGCGUUGUAUUAGCUAGUUGGUGAGGUAAAGGCUCACCAAGGCGAUGAUACAUAGCCGACCUGAGAGGGUGAACGGCCACAAUGGGACUGAGGAACGGCCCAAAAUCCUACGGGAGGCAGCAGUAGGGAAUCUUCGGCAAUGGACGAAAGUCUGAACGAGCAACGCCGCGUGAGGGAAGAAGGGUUUCGGAUCGGAAAACUCUGUUGGUAGAGAAGAACGUUGGUGAGAGUGGAAAGCUCAUCAAGUGACGGUAACUACACAGAAAGGGACGGCUAACUACGUG
RNAcentral lists this ribosomal RNA (497 nucleotides) under uncultured bacterium. RNAcentral describes it as "partial 16S ribosomal RNA". It matches the Rfam family "Bacterial small subunit ribosomal RNA", at positions 28 to 507 of the family's 1533-position model. The record is from RNAcentral.